RNAcentral lists this ribosomal RNA (392 nucleotides) under uncultured Bacteroidota bacterium. Its description in RNAcentral is "bacterial SSU rRNA". It matches the Rfam family "Bacterial small subunit ribosomal RNA", at positions 568 to 957 of the family's 1533-position model. Lineage: Bacteria; Pseudomonadati; Bacteroidota. The record is from RNAcentral.
UCCGCAGGCUGUUUUUUAAGUCAGAGGUGAAAUCCUACAGCUCAACUGUAGAAUUGCCUUUGAAACUGAAAGACUUGAGUUAUUGUGAAGUGGUUAGAAUGUGUGGUGUAGCGGUGAAAUGCAUAGAUAUCACACAGAAUACCAAUUGCGAAGGCAGAUCACUAACAAUUAACUGACGCUCAGGGACGAAAGCGUGGGUAGCGAACAGGAUUAGAUACCCUGGUAGUCCACGCCGUAAACGAUGGAUACUAGCUGUAUGUUUACCUCAGGUAAAUGUGUGGCCAAGCGAAAGUGAUAAGUAUCCCACCUGGGGAGUACGAUCGCAAGAUUGAAACUCAAAGGAAUUGACGGGGGCCCGCACAAGCGGUGGAGCAUGUGGUUUAAUUCGAUGA